Long non-coding RNA from Callorhinchus milii (elephant shark), 559 nucleotides. RefSeq lists it as uncharacterized. The transcript has 4 exons. Lineage: Eukaryota; Metazoa; Chordata; Chondrichthyes; Chimaeriformes; Callorhinchidae. The record is from RefSeq and is a predicted model, not a curated record.
AUAUGAGUGCGCUAAGCAAUAUACUACAGGACUCCACUUGAUACUGAUCGGUCAGAACAGUAGAGGUCCUGGCAUCAAGGGCGAAUGCAAACUACAUCUCCCGGGCACAAAAUGUUGCUCCCACUGUUGUCAUAGAACCGUAUCCAGACAUCCCUGUGGCUGACAGUGGAGAAAGCACCAUAGCCACCUGUCUAGCAAAAAAUGCAAAGCCAGCCGCUUCUAUACAUUGGAAAGGUCCUUUCAUUGUCAGUUUUACUCAGAGUGCCACACGUCCUGCUCCUGAUGGAACUGUAAACGUCUCAAGCCCACUUCGUCUAUCUGCAACCAGAGAGAUGAAUGGACAGUACGUUUACUGUGUGGUGGAACAUCCAGCACUGAAGACUGCUGAACAAUUGGGUUAUCAGUCAAACAUACAUUAUGUGCCAUCAGUUGCCAUUACAGUUGUGAAGACUGACCAAGAUAAUUUACAGCUGAAAUGUAAUGCAGAUGCUAAUCCUCCAUCUACAGGAAUCAGAUGGACAAGAAUGAAUGAUACAAACCCAAUAUUCAACAAAGUUGA